AAGGUCCUAGAAGAUAAUUUGACAUAAAUUCGCAGAAAAAUUAAAGCCAUCCGUAUUAAACAAUCAUAAUGCUUUAGAGAUAUUGGACGGAAUUUCAUAAAUCACAGGCUUAUACUUAUCAUAUUUAUCUCUUCGACGGAAAAAGGAAUAUUGGACUUGAUGAAGGAAAUUUGCAUGAAUUG
Molecule: non-coding RNA, 182 nt
Organism: Megalopta genalis
Lineage: Eukaryota; Metazoa; Arthropoda; Insecta; Hymenoptera; Halictidae
Source: RefSeq, a predicted model, not a curated record